This 345-nucleotide unclassified non-coding RNA is filed under the name soil metagenome. RNAcentral's name for it is "partial contains 5.8S ribosomal RNA, internal transcribed spacer 2, and large subunit ribosomal RNA". The stretch from base 1 to 120 matches the Rfam family "5.8S ribosomal RNA", at positions 35 to 154 of the family's 154-position model. The record is from RNAcentral.
GAUGAAGAACGUAGCGAAAUGCGAUACGUAAUGUGAAUUGCAGAAUUCAGUGAAUCAUCGAGUCUUUGAACGCACAUUGCGCCCUCUGGUAUUCCGGAGGGCAUGCCUGUCCGAGCGUCAUUGCUGCCCUCAAGCACGGCUUGUGUGUUGGGCUCCGUCCCCCGAUCCCGGGGGACGGGCCCGAAAGGCAGCGGCGGCACCGCGUCCGGUCCUCGAGCGUAUGGGGCUUUGUCACCCGCUCUGUAGGCCCGGCCGGCGCUUGCCGAUCAACCAAAUUUUUAUCCAGGUUGACCUCGGAUCAGGUAGGGAUACCCGCUGAACUUAAGAAUAUCAAUAAGCGGAGGA